Molecule: ribosomal RNA, 564 nt
Filed under: Triticum aestivum (bread wheat)
Lineage: Eukaryota; Viridiplantae; Streptophyta; Magnoliopsida; Poales; Poaceae
Description: partial small subunit ribosomal RNA
Source: RNAcentral
AUGAGACCUCCUAUGUUUGAGGGUAUCCACUAUAAGAGGUGGCGCGUGAGAGCAGUUUUAUGGUUUCAAAUCAUGAGUUGCUAUGACGCCACUCUCGGCAAACCUGAAGGAGAGCUUGAUGCUCAACAGGCACAAGCUUUUCAGAAAAUGGAUACUCUGUUUAAGGCUGCUCUCUUGAGUGUUCUUGGUGAGAACAUAGUUGAUGCUUAUGCGUCAAUUGAUAAUGGAAAAGAUAUGUGGGAUGCGCUCGAGGCCAAGUUUGGGGUCUCGGAUGCUGGCACUGAGCUGUACAUCAUGGAGCAAUUCUAUGAUUACAGGAUGACUAAAGAGCGCUCCGUGGUUGAGCAAGCUCAUGAGAUACAGUCAUUUGCUAGAGAACUUGAGCACUUCAGUUGUAUGCUACCGGACAAGUUCGUUGCCGGAGGUAUCAUCACUAAGCUUCCUCCUUCAUGGAGGAACUUUGCUACCUUGCUGAAGCAUAAGAGGCAGGAGUUUUCCGUCCCGGAUCUCAUUGGCACUCUUGAUGUGGAAGAAAAGGCGAGAGCAAAGGACACACGUGCUUGA